GCCUCCGUAGCUCAGGGGAUAGAGCGCCGCACUCCUAACGCGGGCGUCGCAGGUUCGAAUCCUGCCGGGGGCACCA
Molecule: transfer RNA, 76 nt
Filed under: Nocardioides sp. JCM 18999
Lineage: Bacteria; Bacillati; Actinomycetota; Actinomycetes; Propionibacteriales; Nocardioidaceae
Also listed under: 1 other name
Description: tRNA-Arg
Rfam family: tRNA
About the family: Transfer RNA (tRNA) molecules are approximately 80 nucleotides in length. Their secondary structure includes four short double-helical elements and three loops (D, anti-codon, and T loops).
Source: RNAcentral